RNAcentral lists this ribosomal RNA (377 nucleotides) under uncultured eukaryote. Its description in RNAcentral is "partial 18S ribosomal RNA". It matches the Rfam family "Eukaryotic small subunit ribosomal RNA", at positions 592 to 976 of the family's 1831-position model. The record is from RNAcentral.
CAAUAGCGUAUAUUUAAGUUGCUGCAGUUAAAAAGCUCGUAGUUGGAUUUCGGGUGGGAAUGGCCGGUCCGCCGUUUCGGUGUGCACUUGCUACGCCCACCUUGCUGCCGGGGACGUGCUCUUGAGUUCACGCUCGGGACACGGAGUCGGCGAGGUUACUUUGAGUAAAUUAGAGUGUUCAAAGCUGGCCUACGCUCUGAAUACAUUAGCAUGGAAUAACACGAUAGGACUCUGGCCUAUCUUGUUGGUCUGUAGGACCGGAGUAAUGAUUAAGAGGGACAGUCGGGGGCAUUCGUAUUUCAUUGUCAGAGGUGAAAUUCUUGGAUUUAUGAAAGACGAACUACUGCGAAAGCAUUUGCCAAGGAUGUUUUCAUUAA